RNAcentral lists this ribosomal RNA (305 nucleotides) under uncultured bacterium. RNAcentral describes it as "bacterial SSU rRNA". It matches the Rfam family "Bacterial small subunit ribosomal RNA", at positions 333 to 636 of the family's 1533-position model. The record is from RNAcentral.
UUAAACCUACGGGACGCAGCAGUGAGGAAUAUUGGUCAAUGGGCGCGAGCCUGAACCAGCCAAGUCGCGUGAGGGAAGACGGUCCUAUGGAUUGUAAACCUCUUUUGUCGGGGAGCAAAAGACGCCACGCGUGGCGUUCCGAGAGUACCCGAAGAAAAAGCAUCGGCUAACUCCGUGCCAGCAGCCGCGGUAAUACGGAGGAUGCGAGCGUUAUCCGGAUUUAUUGGGUUUAAAGGGUGCGUAGGCGGUCCGUUAAGUCAGCGGUAAAAUUGCGGGGCUCAACCCCGUCGAGCCGUUGAAACUGG